UACAGAGGUGGCAAGCGUUGUUCGGAAUUACUGGGCGUAAAGGGCGCGUAGGCGGUCUUUUAAGUCUUGUGUGAAAUCCCUCGGCUCAACUGAGGAACUGCACGGGAUACUGGAAGACUUGAGUUCGGGAGAGGGAAGCGGAAUUCCGGGUGUAGCGGUGAAAUGCGUAGAUAUCCGGAGGAACACCGGUGGCGAAGGCGGCUUCCUGGACCGAUUACUGACGCUGAGGCGCGAAAGCUAGGGGAGCAAGCGGG
Molecule: ribosomal RNA, 254 nt
Filed under: uncultured bacterium
Lineage: Bacteria
Description: partial 16S ribosomal RNA
Rfam family: Bacterial small subunit ribosomal RNA
Source: RNAcentral